UGUUUCGGCUAGGGGGUCAUCCCGACUUACCAACCCGAUGCAAACUACGAAUACCGAAGAAUGUUAUCACGGGAGACACACGGCGGGUGCUAACGUCCGUCGUGAAGAGGGAAACAACCCAGACCGCCAGCUAAGGUCCCAAAGUCAUGGUUAAGUGGGAAACGAUGUGGGAAGGCCCAGACAGCCAGGAUGUUGGCUUAGAAGCAGCCAUCAUUUAAAGAAAGCGUAAUAGCUCACUGGUCGAGUCGGCCUGCGCGGAAGAUGUAACGGGGCUAAACCAUGCA
This 284-nucleotide ribosomal RNA is filed under the name Klebsiella michiganensis. Its description in RNAcentral is "partial 23S ribosomal RNA". It matches the Rfam family "Bacterial large subunit ribosomal RNA", at positions 911 to 1193 of the family's 2925-position model. Lineage: Bacteria; Pseudomonadati; Pseudomonadota; Gammaproteobacteria; Enterobacterales; Enterobacteriaceae. The record is from RNAcentral.